Mauremys mutica (yellowpond turtle) is the source of this 1198-nucleotide long non-coding RNA. RefSeq lists it as uncharacterized. NCBI's taxonomy places the organism in Eukaryota, Metazoa, Chordata, Testudines, Geoemydidae. The transcript is spliced from 4 exons. The record is from RefSeq and is a predicted model, not a curated record.
ACCCACCCCCACUCCAACACAGACUCCAUCCCCUGCCACACACAGAUGCCCCCUUCCCUCCCUAUCUCCUACACCAACACAGAGAGACUUUAUCCCUUCCAUUCUCUGCCCACCCCACAGCCUCUUUCUCUGUCCCCCAUUCCCUCCCUAUUAUUCACCCCAUCUCCAAGGCUCCAGAACCCCUCACCUAUCUCAUCCCACGCCCCCCCUUCCCAGAACUGGGAAGCCAGAGCUCUCUCCCCUUCUCCCUCCUCCCCUCUGCCUACUUCUCCCCUGCCUCCUCUCCCCCUCUCAAGGUAGCAAGAGGUAGAAUCUCCUUCCCUUCACUAAUCUCCCCCAGGGUGGAAAUAGAGCUCCCCUUCCCUUUUCUCCAAGCUAAAGGAUGUGGAAUCUUCUUGUUUCCCCGUUCCCAUUAUCAGGGAUUUUGUAACACGCUCCUCCCCACAGAAUCUGAGUACUCCACAGGCAUUAAAGGAUCCAUCUGCACAGCACCCCUAGGAGAGGACAAAACGCUUUGGUGAGGAUCUGCUGGACAGAUUUCACACAGCGCGUGAUGGAGGCGCCCUAGAAUGCCCCCAGCCCCUGGAAGCAGACUUUCAGCUCCAGCAGCCAGAACGGUAGCCCCAAGCAGCACAGAACAGAACCUCUGUCCAUCCCUGUACCUCUGCAAGCCUUGGGGAUCUCCAAAUACCACAAUGCCCUUGGUGGGUCAUCAGCCACGGGGAUUGAAUCCUGGACUCUCUGGACCUAAAAGCAGGAGCCUGUACAGCCUGAGCUAAAAGACCCAGAUCUAUGAGCUCAAAGGCUGUAGCAGAUUCAUAAACCUCCUUGUGGUCCUGCCAUGAGAGGGGGACAGAGCAAACCUGGGCUACACCUGGGCACGGGGACCAAAUUUUCUGAUACCUCUGAACACCUUGCCGGCAGAAGGGUACAAUGGAAAUUCCACCAGCCCUGUCCCCUAGCUGGGAGCUAUGUGCACAGAGAACACUAUGGCCCUAUGUUUGUAAAGCACGUUUUAGAUGCUUGGAUGGAAGAUGCAUGAAAAAUAUUUACUAACAGUCACACAUCAGUGUUGGAAAGCAAUUACGUUAAAAGUUACAUAGGAAAUCAGCAUCUAAAAUGUAACGUAGCUGUAGAGGAGAGGCUAUAUUUCAGCUAAAGCAACCUAUAUCCUGCCUAAGGUGCUUGAUCGAGAUGG